CAGCCGCCGCGGUAAUACAGAGGGUGCGAGCGUUAAUCGGAUUUACUGGGCGUAAAGCGUGCGUAGGCGGCUACUUAAGUCAGAUGUGAAAUCCCUGAGCUUAACUUAGGAAUUGCAUUCGAUACUAGGAAGCUAGAGUCUGGGAGAGGAUAGUAGAAUUCCAAGUGUAGCGGUGAAAUGCGUAGAUAUCUGGAAGAAUACCAAUGGCGAAGGCGGCCGUCUGGCCUAAUACUGACGCUGAGGUACGAAAGCAUGGGGAGCAAACAGGAUUAGAUACCCCCGUAGUCCCUGUCUCUUAUAC
RNAcentral lists this ribosomal RNA (301 nucleotides) under uncultured bacterium. RNAcentral's name for it is "partial 16S ribosomal RNA". It matches the Rfam family "Bacterial small subunit ribosomal RNA", at positions 509 to 807 of the family's 1533-position model. The record is from RNAcentral.